UCGGGAAUUUUGGGCAAUGGGCGAAAGCCUGAUCCAGCCAUGCCGCGUGUGUGAAGAAGGCCUUCGGGUUGUAAAGCACUUUAAGCGAGGAGGAAUGGCUCUGGGUUAAUACCCUUGAGCAGUGACGUUACUCGCAGAAUAAGCACCGGCUAACUCUGUGCCAGCAGCCGCGGUAAUACAGAGGGUGCAAGCGUUAAUCGGAAUUACUGGGCGUAAAGCGCGCGUAGGCGGUUACGUAAGUUGGAUGUGAAAUCCCCGGGCUCAACCUGGGAAUUGCAUUCAAAACUGCGUGGCUAGAGUGUGGGAGAGGAAGGUAGAAUUCCAGGUGUAGCGGUGAAAUGCGUAGAUAUCUGGAGGAAUACCGAUGGCGAAGGCAGCCUUCUGGCCUAACACUGACGCUGAGGUGCGAAAGCAUGGGGAGCAAACAGGAUUAGAUACCCCAGUAGUCCCUGAGCGGGCUGGCAAGGCGCAU
RNAcentral lists this ribosomal RNA (472 nucleotides) under uncultured bacterium. RNAcentral's name for it is "bacterial SSU rRNA". It matches the Rfam family "Bacterial small subunit ribosomal RNA", at positions 355 to 825 of the family's 1533-position model. The record is from RNAcentral.